This 4152-nucleotide long non-coding RNA is filed under the name Capsicum annuum. RNAcentral describes it as "long non-coding RNA (CANN_LNC011703)". Lineage: Eukaryota; Viridiplantae; Streptophyta; Magnoliopsida; Solanales; Solanaceae. The record is from RNAcentral.
UAUUGGAAGCAGAAGGCAAAUAAAAAGCCUAAAAUAAACAGACAUAUAAUAAUUCAGCAAAUGCCUGAUAAUGGUCAACGGGGCCUAUACAUGGACCCCAUGCUUACAAAAAAGCACAGCUGACGUUACACCUUCAAGUAAAAUCAAGAAAAGCAAAAAGCCCAAUACACUUUUCCCCUCUCACACACUCCCAUCUCGAUCUGACUUUGCUACAAACAUAGAAAACCAAAAAAACUCAAUUGGCACAGUGAAAUAAAAAUAAACAGGUGGGUGAUUAGGUAUGUUAAUUAUGUGUAGGGGUGUUUGUUUGGUAGUUAGUUAAUUAUUGUGAAUGGGAAAAAAUAUCUUUUUGAUCUAAUCUUGAUUUUCUCUUUGGUGAAAUUUCAGCUUCCUUUUUUUUUUUUGAGUUGGGAAUUGCCAUUUGACUCUAUGAGCAAAGAAAGGCCACCAGAGCCUCUGGAUUUCUUUAUUUGGACUGUUGAGGUAAUGAGAUUCUUCACUAAUUUUGAUUCAUCCAUAUUCCAGAUCUCGGGAGUAGCUUUGAUACCAUGAUUUUGUAAUGGAGUUUUAUGAUUACUGGAUGUAGAAUUUUGUUGUUUCUUUCUGUGGCUCUUUCGUCUCUCUACCUACAUGAUUUAGUGGUAAGGCUUGCGUACACUCUACACACUCUACACUCGCUGACCCCACUUGUGGGAUUUCACCGGGUAUAUUGUUGUAUUGUUUGUAUUUUUUCUGUGUCUCACUGUUGUAGUUGUUGUAUAUGAUGGGUUUCUCUUGAUAAUCUGAUGAUUUGUAGGUGACAUAAGUUCAAAAAAUGCAAUUUGUUCAUCGUUUUUUUGCUCUUAUUGUUGAACUUUUGAGUUUGGUCUGUAUAAGGAAUAUGAUAAUUCUGCUAAUGCAUAUACAUUUGGGGACUGAUGUACAGAAUUCUAUAGGUUGGUUACUGGUGAAGGGAGUGAAAGAGAGUCUAUGUUCUUAAAGACAACUUCAAUCCUGAGUGUCCUUAAAGUACGUAAAUAUAUAUAUGUUUUUCAUCGAGUUAGAUAAAUUUUGAUACUUUUGAUUGAGAUGGAAUAACAAAAUAUGAUGAUAAAAUAAGUAUGGUUUUAUUUAUAUGCAAAAUAAGUAGAGGUAUGUUGUUGUUGUUGUUGCAAAAUAAAUAGAGGUAACUUUUUCCUUAUUCCCGUUAAGCUUGUAUCAAGUUCUACUAGAAGUGUAGUAAGAAAAUCUUGAAAGAAAGAGAGAUGAGAAAAUAUUGGAGAACUGAAUGUUGGGAAACACUAUUUUGAAAUUCCUCUUGGAGAAUUAGUGAGAUAUUCUUCUAGCUAUUUUAUUUUUAUCAAAAAAAUUCUCUUGGCUAUUUUAUGGGUUAACUAGAGUGUUGUCUCUAAUGUUUUGUUGUCAUUAUACACUUGAGAAUUGAUAUAGUAGGAUUACUCCUCCUAGUCCGUGAGGCAUGUUGGCUGGACCACGAAAAUCUCCAUCUCUAUGUUAUUUGUUGUCCUAUUCAGUCCAAAGAAUUAGUUAAUCCUGUCCAUGUUAUAGACAGACGAAUCAUAAGAACAUCACUGAAAGGGUAUACAAUAAGAUGAAAUGACCACAAAGAAAAUGAAGCGAAAUGCACAACAAGCCACAGUAAAGGAACACUUAAUGAAGUUCCCAAAGGUGUGGCGUUGUGGUCAAUGAAGUGGGUUGAGGAUCAUGAGGUCUCAGGUUCAAAACCCCAACGGAGGCAAACACACCAGGUGAUUCUUCCCAUCAAUCCAACUUCCAAGCCUUAAUGGAUAGAGUUACCCGGUACUAGUUUUGGUGGAAGGUUGUAAGCAAAACAUGAAAUUAGUCGAUGUGCAUGCAAGGUAGCCAAGACACCACAGUUGUUAAAAAAACAAAACACUUACUGCUUUGGAAAGUAAUGAAAUCUUUUCUAGCUCCUCUCCUACAUAAAAUAGCAAAGUCAUCCAUCCAUUGUGCGACGUUUAAGGAUUGAAGGCUUUUGUAUUAUUUAAAAGUAUAUAGGUUGUUCACUUCACGACUCUCUUUAUGGAUCCAUUUAUAUGACCAUGGCUGAUUAGCAACUUCAUUUAAGGUUGAUGUGUGGGCAUACUAGGUGUGAUAGGAUCAAGAAUGAACUUAUUUGAGAUAAGGUGGGAGUUGCCUCCGUGGUGGAUAAGAUGAAAGAAGCGAGAUUGAGAUGGUUUGGACAUGUAGUGAGGUUAGGUGCAGAUGUCCUUGUGAGGAGGUGUGAGAGGUUCGAUAUAGUAGGUAUGAGGAGGUGUAGAGUUAGGCCAAAAAAGUAUUAGGUAGAGGUUAUUAGACUAGACAUUGUGCAUAUUCAGAUUACUGAGGACAUGAACUUAGAUAGGAGGAUGUGGAGGACGCGUAUUAUAGUAUAAGGUUAGUUGGGUAGGAGUGUUGUCGUACACUAUAUGGUAGCUUAUGGUUAUAGUAGCUUAUGAUAUCUAUCAUUGUUAUUGUUAUAGUGUUUUGAUUAUCGCACUAUUUUUGUGAUGAUUAUUGUUAUUCUUGGUAGAUUUUGCAUUGUUCCCUUGUUAACUGCUAUAUUUUCUUUAUUGUUUUCCUUUUCUUUGUACUUAAAUUUGCUACACUUGAAUCUAAGGUCUUUCGAAUCAACCUCUCUACCUCCCGAGGUAGUGGUAAGGUCUGCAUAUACUUUACCUUCCCAGACCUCACGUGUAGGAUUAUACUAGGUAUGUUGUUAUUUAUCCCAUAUAGUACAUAUUGUAGCUAGCGGGACCUUUUUUCCUUUUGCACACAAAGGCAGAGCUAGGAUUUGAAGUGAUUAAAGAACGUGUAUCGAUAUUCAACAUAUUUUUAAAAAGUAAUGAACCAGUUAAUCGUAAUAUAUGAAUAUAAAGAUUACAAUUACAGUUGCACUUGAUAACUUGUCAUGUUUUGAAAACAAUCAAUGAUCGCAUAAUUAUGUACAUUUUUAAUACUUUAUCCUCUAUAACAAACUAAACAAUUAUUGAAAAAGCCAUCAACCAUUCAGCGUCUCAAGUCAUUUUUAAUAAACUUCAUUGAUGAAAAAAUUCUUCCUACUAUUGAAGUAGUGACAGGCAAUAUCAAACUCAACUUAACAACAAACAAACAAGUCUCUAUGUUUGUAUUUGUUUAACCAAUUUCUUUAGCUCUCCAAAAGUCCAUUCAAGUUAGAGAAACCAUUGUCCACUUCUCGCAUAUGAUCAAUAUAGUUAUUAGCUCAAACUGAGAUCUUCAAGUUUGGAAAAAGUGAACUCAUUUGGAUAAUAUGUAGCAAACUUCAUGAUCUUAUUUUUAUCACAAUUUACAAAAGAAUCAUCGGGGCUUAAACUAGUUAUAUCAAGAAGCAAAUUAGUAUUCACUUUAUUAAGACGUGUUGAACUCCAAGAGUUGCAAAUCGAUAUCAACAUAAAUAAGUUACUAUAAAUGCUGAGAAUAUGUAGGACCUGCAGUUACACUUUAAUUUUCCAAGACCAUACUUCUCAUCAAUUUCUGGGAUCACAAUACCGUGCUUGUCACAAAUCAAGGAGACAUUUUUGAGCAAAUUAUUCCAUGUAGAAACCCUCAUCCAUUGUGAAUCUCUCUUUUGAAAUGAACAAGCUUCAUAGCAUUUCAAAUAUAUCGAUCUUUUCUUUACAAAGACAUCCAUCCAAUUUAUGUGUAACUGUGGACACUUUCAACACCAAACACAACAGAUAUACAGAUUUAUAAGAUCUUAUGUCAUUCACUAGACUUUUUGCCAUUGUUUUUUCAUGGUAAUUUAAAACCUCAUAGCAAGAACUCCAAUUGCAUGAACAAUUGAUGAGAAUAAAGAAAUAAAGUUACAUAUUGUCUUAAAAUGAGAUCCCUAACGAGUAUCACCUAACCUUUGAAGUCCAAGUUCUUGAUUUAUUUCACUUCAUGUAUGGAAGUUCAUAAAGCACUAGUAACAUCUGUUGUUUUCAGCCCGAUCAUCACCCUACGUGUAAUAAAACCUCUAAAAAUAUUCAAGUUAUUGGCAGGAUUAUCAAAGAAACUAUCCACUUUAGAAUGUUUCUUUGCAACAGUUACAAGAGUUAAUUUCUAUUAAUGAGCAAAAUAAUGUAUGCAAUAUGCCUAAGGAGUAUCUUUUAGAAUCAAAGUUUUAAGACCAUUAAUUUUUCUUGCANNNNN